GCCUCUAUUGCGCGACUUAAAAAACAAGUCAAUUCUGAGAUCGUCACCGUGGACAUAGAGACUGACAAUCGGAAAUCUAAAGCACCAGUGAUCUCAUCUCUCCUAUCCGUAUCUGCGUUAAUCUGGAGAUCGAUCACAAGAGCUCGGUGUUUACCAAAGACUGAACUGGUAAGUUUUAAACUGGCGUGCAAUUACCGGUCAAGAAUGUUACCUCCACUUCCGCCGACAUACUUCGGAAACUGCAUCGGAGCAGUCUCCACCGUCCCCAUCCCUUCCGGCGAUCUUCUCGCACGAAACCUUGGACAGACGGCUUCCCUAUUACACGGCAUCGUGAGUUCGGUGAAGGAUGACGUUAUAAUACGGAAAGAAAUCGACAGAUAUGUGUCGGAACCUGUAUUUUUCUCAAUCAGUGGCUUCGCAAAGAACAAUGGUGUUGGGAUGACAAGUUCACCGCGGUUUGAGGUAUACGAGUGUGAGUUUGG
RNAcentral lists this long non-coding RNA (482 nucleotides) under Zostera marina. RNAcentral describes it as "long non-coding RNA (ZMAR_LNC000178)". The record is from RNAcentral. Lineage: Eukaryota; Viridiplantae; Streptophyta; Magnoliopsida; Alismatales; Zosteraceae.